This 492-nucleotide ribosomal RNA is filed under the name uncultured bacterium. RNAcentral describes it as "partial 16S ribosomal RNA". It matches the Rfam family "Bacterial small subunit ribosomal RNA", at positions 29 to 507 of the family's 1533-position model. The record is from RNAcentral.
AGUGAACGCUGGCGGUAGGCCUAACACAUGCAAGUCGAACGGCAGCACAGUAAGAGCUUGCUCUUACGGGUGGCGAGUGGCGGACGGGUGAGGAAUACAUCGGAAUCUACUUUUUCGUGGGGGAUAACGUAGGGAAACUUAUGCUAAUACCGCAUACGACCUACGGGUGAAAGCAGGGGAUCUUCGCACCUUGCGCGAUUGAAUGAGCCGAUGUCGGAUUAGCUAGUUGGCAGGGUAAAGGCCCACCAAGGCGACGAUCCGUAGCUGGUCUGAGAGGAUGAUCAGCCACACUGGAACUGAGACACGGUCCAGACUCCUACGGGAGGCAGCAGUGGGGAAUAUUGGACAAUGGGCGCAAGCCUGAUCCAGCCAUACCGCGUGGGUGAAGAAGGCCUUCGGGUUGUAAAGCCCUUUUGUUGGGAAAGAAAAGCAGCAGGUUAAUACCCCGCUGUUCUGACGGUACCCAAAGAAUAAGCACCGGCUAACUUCGUG